GAUAAAAUGCUGCUUCAGUUUUGCUAAUACGCAGCGUUAUUUUUCUGCCUGGAGACAAGCUGGAUUCUAACACCACAUGGUAAGGAGCUUGAGUCAAUAUUUGGAGAUUAAAUGAAGAGGAAAUGAGCUGAUGAGAUAUUUUUAGCGGGUUGCCUGCCGUGUCGUUAGGUGCAAAUGUGCCAAAGUGUAAAAUGUAUGUCAACUCAAGAAUUUAAUCCAAAUUUGGAGCUAGGAAUUUUUACAGGACCCAUUGAAAGUUUGGACAGCAGGGAACUAGUCGUCAGCCAAAAUGUAAAUCCUCCGAUCUGACAGAGGUGUCAAAUGCAGGUCCAGAAAUUGAAAACCCAUGCAGG
Molecule: long non-coding RNA, 353 nt
Organism: Hippocampus comes (tiger tail seahorse)
Lineage: Eukaryota; Metazoa; Chordata; Actinopteri; Syngnathiformes; Syngnathidae
Exons: 3
Source: RefSeq, a predicted model, not a curated record